UACGUAGGGUGCGAGCGUUAAUCGGAAUUACUGGGCGUAAAGCGUGCGCAGGCGGUUCGCUGUGUCCGAUGUGAAAGCCCCGGGCUUAACCUGGGAAUGGCAUUGGAAACUGGCGGGCUUGAGUGCGGCAGAGGGAGGUGGAAUUCCGCGUGUAGCAGUGAAAUGCGUAGAGAUGCGGAGGAACACCGAUGGCGAAGGCAGCCCCCUGGGUCGACACUGACGCUCAGGCACGAAAGCGUGGGGAGCAAACAGG
RNAcentral lists this ribosomal RNA (253 nucleotides) under uncultured bacterium. RNAcentral describes it as "partial 16S ribosomal RNA". It matches the Rfam family "Bacterial small subunit ribosomal RNA", at positions 524 to 776 of the family's 1533-position model. The record is from RNAcentral.